This 253-nucleotide ribosomal RNA is filed under the name uncultured bacterium. Its description in RNAcentral is "partial 16S ribosomal RNA". It matches the Rfam family "Bacterial small subunit ribosomal RNA", at positions 524 to 776 of the family's 1533-position model. The record is from RNAcentral.
UACAGAGGUGGCAAGCGUUGUUCGGAAUUACUGGGCGUAAAGGGCGCGUAGGCGGCCUUCUCAGUCAGACGUGAAAUCCCCCGGCUUAACCUGGGAACUGCGUCUGAUACUGGAAGGCUGGAGUUCGGGAGAGGGAUGUGGAAUUCCAGGUGUAGCGGUGAAAUGCGUAGAUAUCUGGAGGAACACCGGUGGCGAAGGCGGCAUCCUGGACCGAAACUGACGCUGAGGCGCGAAAGCCAGGGGAGCAAACGGG